RNAcentral lists this ribosomal RNA (420 nucleotides) under Alkalibacillus almallahensis. Its description in RNAcentral is "bacterial SSU rRNA". It matches the Rfam family "Bacterial small subunit ribosomal RNA", at positions 729 to 1152 of the family's 1533-position model. The record is from RNAcentral. Lineage: Bacteria; Bacillati; Bacillota; Bacilli; Caryophanales; Bacillaceae.
CUGGUCUGUACUGACGCUGAGGCGCGAAAGCAUGGGUAGCGAACAGGAUUAGAUACCCUGGUAGUCCAUGCCGUAAACGUUGAGUGCUAGGUGUUAGGGGGUCCAACCCUUAGUGCUGCAGUUAACGCAAUAAGCACUCCGCCUGGGGAGUACGGCCGCAAGGCUGAAACUCAAAGGAAUUGACGGGGGCCUGCACAAGCGGUGGAGCAUGUGGUUUAAUUCGACGCAACGCGAAGAACCUUACCAGGUCUUGACAUCUUCGGACAGCCCAAGAGAUUGGGUCUUCCCUUCGGGGACCGAAUGACAGGUGGUGCAUGGUUGUCGUCAGCUCGUGUCGUGAGAUGUUGGGUUAAGUCCCGUAACGAGCGCAACCCCUGAUCUUAGUUGCCAGCAUUCAGUUGGGCACUCUAGGAUGACUGC